Long non-coding RNA from Austrofundulus limnaeus, 339 nucleotides. RefSeq lists it as uncharacterized. The record is from RefSeq and is a predicted model, not a curated record. Lineage: Eukaryota; Metazoa; Chordata; Actinopteri; Cyprinodontiformes; Rivulidae. The transcript has 3 exons.
GCGUGUCCGGGCUGACGGCGGAGGACAGCGGCGGUCGUCUCUUCUGCCGGGGCCCGUUACAGAGCGGCGUGUUGCAGCAGGAGCUCGUUAAGAUAAGACGUCCAAUCAGGAGCCGGGAGCCGACAAGUCCCGGUCCAUUACCUGAGAACCUGGACCUGACCUCCUCAGGUUCUGUAGAACAGGAAACACUUCGUCUGCGUCUGUCCCGUCUUCACGGAGCUGGAGGCGACAUUAGAGGAGCCUCAGAGGGAAUCAUCGAGCCUGACUGAUUUUAUUUCAUGUCUGAAGCACCGAGGUGUCAUGGCUGCAUUUUAAACAGGUGUGCUGGGCUCAGUCCAC